This 363-nucleotide unclassified non-coding RNA is filed under the name uncultured Sclerotiniaceae. RNAcentral describes it as "sequence contains ITS2". The stretch from base 1 to 154 matches the Rfam family "5.8S ribosomal RNA". The record is from RNAcentral. Lineage: Eukaryota; Fungi; Ascomycota; Leotiomycetes; Helotiales; Sclerotiniaceae.
AACUUUUUACAAUGGAUCACUUGGUUCUGGCAUCGAUUAAGAACGCAGCGAAAUGCGAUAAGUAAUGUGAAUUGCAGAAUUCAGUGAAUCAUCGAAUCUUUGAACGCACAUUGCGCCCCUUGGUAUUCCGGGGGGCAUGCCUGUUCGAGCGUCAUUUCAACCCUCAAGCUUAGCUUGGUAUUGAGUCCAUGUCAGCAAUGGCAGGCUCUAAAAUCAGUGGCGGCGCCAUUGGGUCCUGAACGUAGUAAUUUCUCUCGUUACAGGUUCUCAGUGUGCUUCUGCCAAAACCCAAAUUUUUCUAUGGUUGACCUCGGAUCAGGUAGGGAUACCCGCUGAACUUAAGCAUAUCAAUAAGCGGAGGCU